Molecule: ribosomal RNA, 492 nt
Filed under: uncultured bacterium
Lineage: Bacteria
Description: partial 16S ribosomal RNA
Rfam family: Bacterial small subunit ribosomal RNA
Source: RNAcentral
AGUGAACGCUGGCGGUAGGCCUAACACAUGCAAGUCGAACGGCAGCACAGUAAGAGCUUGCUCUUACGGGUGGCGAGUGGCGGACGGGUGAGGAAUACAUCGGAAUCUACUUUUUCGUGGGGGAUAACGUAGGGAAACUUACGCUAAUACCUCAUACGUCCUACGGGUGGAAUCAAGGGAUCUUCGGACCUUUCGCGAUUGAAUGAGCUGAUGUCGGAUUAGCUAGUUGGCGGGGUAAAGGCCCACCAAGGCGACGAUCCGUAGCGGGUCUGAGAGGAUGAUCAGCCACACUGGAACUGAGACACGGUCCAGACUCCUACGGGAGGCAGCAGUGGGGAAUAUUCGACAAUGGGCGCAAGCCUGAUCCAGCAAUACCGCGUGGGUGAAGAAGGCCUUCGGGUCGUAAAGCCCUUUUGUUGGGAAAGAAAAGAAGCAGAUGAAUACACGGCCGUUCUGACGGUACCUAAAGAAUAAGCACCGGCUAACUUCGUG